Molecule: ribosomal RNA, 615 nt
Filed under: Rhodotorula mucilaginosa
Lineage: Eukaryota; Fungi; Basidiomycota; Microbotryomycetes; Sporidiobolales; Sporidiobolaceae
Description: LSU rRNA
Rfam family: Eukaryotic large subunit ribosomal RNA
Source: RNAcentral
UGCAUAUCAAUAAGCGGAGGAAAAGAAACUAACAAGGAUUCCCCUAGUAGCGGCGAGCGAAGCGGGAAGAGCUCAAAUUUAUAAUCUGGCACCUUCGGUGUCCGAGUUGUAAUCUCUAGAAAUGUUUUCCGCGUUGGACCGCACACAAGUCUGUUGGAAUACAGCGGCAUAGUGGUGAGACCCCCGUAUAUGGUGCGGACGCCCAGCGCUUUGUGAUACAUUUUCGAAGAGUCGAGUUGUUUGGGAAUGCAGCUCAAAUUGGGUGGUAAAUUCCAUCUAAAGCUAAAUAUUGGCGAGAGACCGAUAGCGAACAAGUACCGUGAGGGAAAGAUGAAAAGCACUUUGGAAAGAGAGUUAACAGUACGUGAAAUUGUUGGAAGGGAAACGCUUGAAGUCAGACUUGCUUGCUGAGCAAUCGGUUUGCAGGCCAGCAUCAGUUUUCCGGGAUGGAUAAUGGUAGAGAGAAGGUAGCAGUUUCGGCUGUGUUAUAGCUCUCUGCUGGAUACAUCUUGGGGGACUGAGGAACGCAGUGUGCCUUUGGCGGGGGUUUCGACCUCUUCACACUUAGGAUGCUGGUGGAAUGGCUUUAAACGACCCGUCUUGAAACACGGACCA